UACGAAGGGGGCUAGCGUUGUUCGGAAUCACUGGGCGUAAAGCGCACGCAGGCGGAUCGAUAAGUCGGGGGUGAAAGCCCGGGGCUCAACCUCGGAAUUGCCUUCGAUACUGUCGGUCUCGAGUCCGGGAGAGGUGAGUGGAAUUCCUAGUGUAGAGGUGAAAUUCGUAGAUAUUAGGAAGAACACCAGUGGCGAAGGCGGCUCACUGGCCCGGUACUGACGCUCAUGCACGAAAGCUAGGGGAGCAAACAGG
RNAcentral lists this ribosomal RNA (253 nucleotides) under uncultured bacterium. RNAcentral's name for it is "partial 16S ribosomal RNA". It matches the Rfam family "Bacterial small subunit ribosomal RNA", at positions 524 to 776 of the family's 1533-position model. The record is from RNAcentral.